This 465-nucleotide ribosomal RNA is filed under the name uncultured bacterium. RNAcentral describes it as "partial 16S ribosomal RNA". It matches the Rfam family "Bacterial small subunit ribosomal RNA", at positions 338 to 795 of the family's 1533-position model. The record is from RNAcentral.
CCUACGUGAGGCAGCAGUAGGGAAUCUUCCACAAUGGGCGAAAGCCUGAUGGAGCAACGCCGCGUGGGUGAAGAAGGUCUUCGGAUCGUAAAACCCUGUUGUUAGAGAAGAAAGUGCGUGAGAGUAACUGUUCACGUUUCGACGGUAUCUAACCAGAAAGCCACGGCUAACUACGUGCCAGCAGCCGCGGUAAUACGUGGGUGGCAAGCGUUAUCCGGAUUUAUUGGGCGUAAAGGGAACGCAGGCGGUCUUUUAAGUCUGAUGUGAAAGCCUUCGGCUUAACCGGAGUAGUGCAUUGGAAACGGGGAGACUUGAGGGCAGAAGAGGAGAGUGGAACUCCAGGUGUAGCGGUGAAAUGCGUAGAUAUAUGGAAGAACACCAGUGGCGAAAGCGGCUCUCUGGUCUGUAACUGACGCUGAGGUUCGAAAGCGUGGGUAGCAAACAGGAUUAGAUACCCUUGUAGUC